AUCUAUGGACAUACUAGCCUGAACAUACCCAGUCUCAUCUGAUCUCAGAAGCUAAGCAGGAUCCAGCUUGGUAAGCACUUGGGUGGGAGACUUACCAGGCAUACCAGGUACUACAGGCU
Molecule: ribosomal RNA, 119 nt
Filed under: Jaculus jaculus (lesser Egyptian jerboa)
Lineage: Eukaryota; Metazoa; Chordata; Mammalia; Rodentia; Dipodidae
Source: RNAcentral